GACGAACGCUGGCGGCGUGCUUAACACAUGCAAGUCGAACGAUGAUCAGGAGCUUGCUCCUGUGAUUAGAGGCGAACGGGAGAGUAACACGUGAGUAACCUGCCCCUGACUCUGGGGUAAGCGUUGGAAACGACGCCUAUUACUGGAUAUGAUAACUGGCCUCAUGGUCUGGUGGUGGAAAGAUUUUUUGGUUGGGGAUGGACUCGCGGCCUAUCAGCUUGUUGGUGAGGUAAUGGCUCACCAAGGCGACGACGGGUAGCCGGCCUGAGAGGGUGACCGGCCACACUGGGACUGAGACACGGCCCAGACUCCUACGGGAGGCAGCAGUGGGGAAUAUUGCACAAUGGGCGAAAGCCUUAUGCAGCAACGCCGCGUGGGGGAUGACGGCCUUCGGGUUGUAAACCUCUUUUAGUAGGGAAGAAGCGAAAGUGACGGUACCUGCAGAAAAAGCACCGGCUAACUACGUG
Molecule: ribosomal RNA, 467 nt
Filed under: uncultured bacterium
Lineage: Bacteria
Description: partial 16S ribosomal RNA
Rfam family: Bacterial small subunit ribosomal RNA
Source: RNAcentral